GACGAACGCGGGCGGAGGGAAGAAGAAAGGCAACUUGAGCGAUGAAGGUUGGUACUUGUACCGACUGGAUGAGCAGCGAACGGGUGAGUAACGCGUGGGGAAUCUGCCUUUGAGCGGGGGACAACAUUUGGAAACGAAUGCUAAUACCGCAUAAAAACUUUAAACACAAGUUUUAAGUUUGAAAGAUGCAAUUGCAUCACUCAAAGAUGAUCCCGCGUUGUAUUAGCUAGUUGGUGAGGUAAAGGCUCACCAAGGCGAUGAUACAUAGCCGACCUGAGAGGGUGGUGCGCCACAUUGGGACUGAGACACGGCCCAAACUCCUACGGGAGGCAGCAGUAGGGAAUCUUCGGCAAUGGACGAAAGUCUGACCGAGCAACGCCGCGUGAGUGAAGAAGGUUUUCGGAUCGUAAAGUUCGGGUGGUAGAGAAGAACGUUGGUGAGAGUGGAAAGCUCAUCAAGUGACGGUAACUACCCAGAAAGGGACGGCUUCCUACGUC
RNAcentral lists this ribosomal RNA (497 nucleotides) under uncultured bacterium. Its description in RNAcentral is "partial 16S ribosomal RNA". It matches the Rfam family "Bacterial small subunit ribosomal RNA", at positions 28 to 507 of the family's 1533-position model. The record is from RNAcentral.